This 467-nucleotide ribosomal RNA is filed under the name uncultured bacterium. Its description in RNAcentral is "partial 16S ribosomal RNA". It matches the Rfam family "Bacterial small subunit ribosomal RNA", at positions 28 to 507 of the family's 1533-position model. The record is from RNAcentral.
GGCGAACGCUGGCGGCGUGCUUAACACAUGCAAGUCGAACGGAAAGGCUCCAGCUUGCUGGAGUACUCGAGUGGCGAACGGGUGAGUAACACGUGGGUAAUCUGCCCUGCACUCUGGGAUAAGCCUGGGAAACUGGGUCUAAUACUGGAUAUGACCUUUCUCCUUAUGGGGUUUGGUGGAAAGUUUUUCGGUGUAGGAUGAGCCCGCGGCCUAUCAGCUUGUUGGUGGGGUGAUGGCCUACCAAGGCGACGACGGGUAGCCGGCCUGAGAGGGUGAUCGGCCACAUUGGGACUGAGAUACGGCCCAGACUCCUACGGGAGGCAGCAGUGGGGAAUAUUGCACAAUGGGCGGAAGCCUGAUGCAGCGACGCCGCGUGAGGGAUGACGGCCUUCGGGUUGUAAACCUCUUUCAGCAGGGACGAAGCGUAAGUGACGGUACCUGCAGAAGAAGCACCGGCAAACUAUGUG